GCCUAGGAAUCUGCCUGGUAGUGGGGGACAACGUUUCGAAAGGAACGCUAAUACCGCAUACGUCCUACGGGAGAAAGCAGGGGACCUUCGGGCCUUGCGCUAUCAGAUGAACCUAGGUCGGAUUAGCUAGUUGGUGGGGUAAUGGCUCACCAAGGCGACGAUCCGUAACUGGUCUGAGAGGAUGAUCAGUCACACUGGAACUGAGACACGGUCCAGACUCCUACGGGAGGCAGCAGUGGGGAAUAUUGGACAAUGGGCGAAAGCCUGAUCCAGCCAUGCCGCGUGUGUGAAGAAGGUCUUCGGAUUGUAAAGCACUUUAAGUUG
This 324-nucleotide ribosomal RNA is filed under the name uncultured Pseudomonas sp. Its description in RNAcentral is "bacterial SSU rRNA". It matches the Rfam family "Bacterial small subunit ribosomal RNA", at positions 115 to 442 of the family's 1533-position model. Lineage: Bacteria; Pseudomonadati; Pseudomonadota; Gammaproteobacteria; Pseudomonadales; Pseudomonadaceae. The record is from RNAcentral.